GUUUGCCACUAGGGGAGUCGCGUCACGCGGCUGAGAUGGACAUGGUCCAGACCCUUUGAACCUGAUCUAGUUCACGCUAGCGUAGGGAAGUGGGCGAGACGACUC
Exiguobacterium sp. AT1b is the source of this 105-nucleotide non-coding RNA. The record is from Rfam. Lineage: Bacteria; Bacillati; Bacillota; Bacilli; Caryophanales.